GCCUCUGAGCCCAAGCCAAGCCAUCACAUCCCCUGUGACUUGCACAUAUACGCCCAGAUGCCCUGAAGUAACUGAAGAAUCACAAAAGAAGUGAAUAUGCCCUGCCCCACCUUAACUGAUGACAUUCCACCACAAAAGAAGUGUAAAUGGCCAGUCCUUGCCUUAAGUGAUGACAUUACCCUGUGAAAGUCCUUUUCCUGGCUCAUCCUGGCUCAAAAAGCACCCCCACUGAGCACCUUGCGACCCCCACUCCUGCCCGCCAGAGAACAACCCCCCUUUGACUGUAAUUUUCCCUUACCUACCCAAAUCCUAUAAAUGGCCCCACCCCUAUCUCCCUUUGCUGACUCUCUUUUCAGACUCAGCCCACCUGCACCCAGGUGAUUAAAAGCUUUAUUGCUCACACAAAGCCUGUUUGGUGGUCUCUUCACACGGACACACAUGAAAUUUAGUGCCGUGACUCGGAUCGGGGGUCCUCCCUUGGGAGAUCAAUCCCCCGUCCUCCUGUUCUUUGCUCCGUGAGAAAGAUCCACCUACGACCUCAGGUCCUCAGACCGACCAGCCCAACGAACAUCUCACCUAUUUUAAAUCAGAAGGCGGCAGGAAUGUCAGGCCUCUGAGCCCAAGCCAAGCCAUCACAUCCCCUGUGACUUGCACAUAUACGCCCAGAUGCCCUGAAGUAACUGAAGAAUCACAAAAGAAGUGAAUAUGCCCUGCCCCACCUUAACUGAUGACAUUCCACCACAAAAGAAGUGUAAAUGGCCAGUCCUUGCCUUAAGUGAUGACAUUACCUUGUGAAAGUCCUUUUCCUGGCUCAUCCUGGCUCAAAAAGCACCCCCACUGAGCACAUUGCGACCCCCACUCCUGCCCGCCAGAGAACAACCCCCCUUUGACUGUAAUUUUCCCUUACCUACCCAAAUCCUAUAAAUGGCCCCACCCCUAUCUCCCUUUGCUGACUCUCUUUUCGGACUCAGCCCACCUGCACCCAGGUGAUUAAAAGCUUUAUUGCUCACA
Molecule: long non-coding RNA, 1011 nt
Organism: Pan troglodytes (chimpanzee)
Lineage: Eukaryota; Metazoa; Chordata; Mammalia; Primates; Hominidae
Exons: 2
Source: RefSeq, a predicted model, not a curated record